UUUUUUUUUUGGUGGUGCUGGGGAUCAAACCCAGAGCCUUGUGCAUUCAAGGCAAGCACUCUACCAACUGAGCUAUAUUCCCAGGCUGAUUUUCAUAUCAACAUUUAUUUUCCACUAUCCCUGUUACCUUCCCACAAGGGAUUUGGGUUUAGAAAACAAGACUAUUGCUCCUAAAAAUUUGUGAGUAACAAGUGAUACUAGUUCUCCAACCAAAGUAAGCUUGGAAGAGAUAAAACCAGACCUCUGAUUUGAGCCUAGAAAGAGAAAUUUAGGAACCCAGUUUUCUUGGGGUAGUAAUCUUGUACAUUCCCAAUCUGGAAAUCAAAACAAUCCCUUUUAGAAUUUUUGUUUCCCCCCUUUGGAGUACAGAUUGUUGUUUUCACCCCCCAGAUCUGUGAAUUGGAAUCUUAGCUUGAAAUCUAAUCCAUUUGAGUGCAUUCUUCCACCUCAUUGAGCUCCUUGAAUGAUUUAUCUUGAAAGACAAAGUUUUAUCCUAACUUUAUAUUUUUCAGUUAUUUAUAGUCCUACAUCUUUUACACUUACUGCUUUUCUGGCUUUGAAUAGGUCACUGUGAAGGUUCGUGUCUGAGUGAUUUCAGCCUAUCAUGGAGUCAUUCUUAAGAUUUGAGGUUUGGAUUGUUCUUGAAUCAACCCAAUAAAUACCAGCCUUAGCUUCUUGUACAGCAUCGCCUCUGAGCCAUUGCAGAUUGCGCUCUUGGGCCUCUGUCUAGCCACACUUCUUAGCACCAGUAGAGGCUCUCUAGCAGGUGGCUUGAACCCAAAAACUUCUUACCUCUACUUUGGUUUCAUUGAGAUCCAUAAGCAUAAUAGAC
RNAcentral lists this long non-coding RNA (832 nucleotides) under Marmota monax (woodchuck). The record is from RNAcentral. Lineage: Eukaryota; Metazoa; Chordata; Mammalia; Rodentia; Sciuridae.